This is a long non-coding RNA of Cercocebus atys (sooty mangabey), 7611 nucleotides long. RefSeq lists it as uncharacterized. Lineage: Eukaryota; Metazoa; Chordata; Mammalia; Primates; Cercopithecidae. The record is from RefSeq and is a predicted model, not a curated record. The transcript is spliced from 5 exons.
CCUUUUGUAAAUUGCCGAGUCUCAGGUAUGUCUUUAUCAGCAGCAUGAAAACGGACAAACACACCCAUUUAUGAUAAAACUUAUUAGCAAACAAGGAAUAUAACAUUAUUAAUCAGUUAAAGAGUAUCUAUAAAAAUCCUACCAGAAAAAUCAUACUUUAUGAUCAAAUAUUGAAAGCUUUUCCCCAGAGAUAAGAAAUGGGACAAGAUUGCCCAAAACCAGCACUUCUACUCGUCAUUUGACUGGGAUCCUAGCCAAGGCAAUAAGACAAGAAAAAACACAAAGUAUAAGAACUGCAAAUAAAGACAUAAAAUUAUCAUUACUCAUAGGCAUCUUGAGUGUAUAUGUAGAAAAUCUACACAAAUCUGUAGGUAAACUCUAAAAACACAAAGAGAAUGUAGCAAGUUUACUGGAUACAAAAUAAAUAUGUAAAAGUCAAUUAUACAUUUAUAUAUUAGCAACACCAAAUAGAAAAUAGUUUUUUUAAACAUACCAUAUAUAAUAAAAACACCAAAUGCCUACAUGGUAUCAAAGACACAUACAGCUGGUGCCCAUGAACACACACCCCCAUCUGGAGGCUUUAUGUUACAUGGUUCAGUCAUUUAGUUUCUCUGGGUCACUGCUUACUCAUCUUUAAAUUGCCAAUACUGUGUUAGGUUUGGAUUGAUCACUUGUGCGACUGCUGGUAGUUUUAAAAUCCCAUAAUUCUCUUCUUGUCUCAUUCAUUAAUUCUGCAAAUACUAGCUGAUAUUCACCAAGUACCAGGCAUGGUGCUAAUCUGAUAAACAUAGGACAGAUGGUAAAUGUUUGUAGGAUAAAUGAGGAUGUGAGGCCCCACUGCUGUCUUUACAGAGCUCUAGCCUAGUGGGGAAGCCUGUACUCCAAGCACACAGUCAUAUCAUAGUGACUCCUGUUGUGAUAGCAAGAGGCACUGGAUCCUGGGAGCAGGUGGGAGUGGGGAGUUCUCAGAGGAGGUGCUACAUGAGUGGCUUCUUACAGGACAUCAGAAGCCAGCCCACCCUGGGUGGAGGAGCAAGGGUGACUGGGAGAAAUAAGGAAGUAGAGUGUGGGAAGGCCCCUUCCUGUUGUAAUGUUACGUUGACAUUACAUUCAUUCAAUCUGUUUACACCAAAAAGUUUCUACUAAAAAGUCUGUAAUGGAGAAGGCUUAAUAUAUUCUCUCCACUUUAUGUACUGAGGAUCAAUAACUUCUGAUGAUAGAAUGCAAGCACUAGAAUAUUCAGGGACACAGGUGUUGAUACAACCCUCAAAGCUAGCUAUGUCAUUGGCUGUUAGCCCUGCUAUGUUCCAGAAUGGUUGAGGCUGGGAGUUAAACCCCCAGCAGCCAGCUCAGCCAGCUGUGGCUUCUCUCCAGGUUCCAGCAGCACCAUUCCUACCUCCCUGAUGCUAAGACCCAGAAAGCUUCCAUGAUUCUCCCACGAUGCAUCUGUGCUCAUCACAGUUCAGGCUCUGCCCAUGAGAAAGCCCCCUUCAGACACAUGUUGGAUCCCAAUUUCUUGGUCGUCGCCAGGAUCAGAGAGUAAACUGUUGGCCUGCUUUUCAUUUAAAAGAGAAAAAAAAGUACAUAAGAAACUCGCCCAAAGUGCAAGUCAUUCCACAUGGCAAGUAGAGGAAUUGAUCCAACCCAUUUUCUAUGUUCUUCCUUUCUCCCCAGGAGGCUUUAGGGAGCUCAUCUACCUGACACUGGCCUUCCAUAAAGGGGGCAAGUAAGACAGAGAAGGAGCUUUGGACAAUGCAACUGAUAUUAUAUUUUUUAAACCCCCUAGCGAUGAACAAACUGUGCUUGUUUCCCUAAUAAACAUAAGGCUUUGCAAAAAUUGUUUUAUAAAGGGAAAGAAAAAAAGAAAUUUUAAAGCUGUGCUACUGUUUCAGCCAAAAUGGCUGGGAGAAGCAACAGCCAUCUCUCCGCAGGAGCAGCUGCACCCAGGAGGCCCGCCCUGAGAAGGGAGGCAGCGUCCCACAGCCAGAAAGAACAGCAGAGCAGCUCGCAAGGUCAUCUGUUGGGGAGGAGGUGUUUUCGUUACAAUUGCGAUUGUUGUGGUAGUAAUCAGUGGUGAUUAUCAUCCCACUCACCCAAACCCAGCCCGACGCCUCCGCCUCCGAGGGGGCUGCUGCCUUUUUCGGAAUGGUUGUAGAAAGGAGAUUAGCAUCAACACUCCAACAGGUAACCCAUCCACAGGCCUCCCUGAGAAGGGAGCUGAAUUACUUGCAUCAAUAUUUGAAAAACAAGCAAGGCAUAUCUCAGACUCAGGAGAUAUGCUGGAAACUAGAAAAAAUUGAUUUUUUUUUUUCAUAUUCACUGCCAGAUAUUGCUGUGCUACAUGGCUAUAUGCAGAUAGAGGACACGGUGAGGCUUAUCAUGCCAGUGAUAGAUCCCGCACUGUCUUUAAAGGAAUCAAUCAUUAAUUUAAAUCGUUUAUAGCAUGACUGUUAGCUUGUUAACCCAUUUUCUUCUGUGCAGGAAGAAAUUGAGUGACUGUGAGUAUACGAGCCUUGGAACGAAAGAGAUUUUUUUAACGGGUCGUUGCUGAUGGGUCUUCUAAGUCCUGCUUCUCACUUUGUCAUUUUAAAGAAAGAUUUUAUUUUGAAAAUUAAUAUCACAGAACCAAUACGUGCGUGUGGAAAGUUCACAUAGUGAACUCCUAGAAAUGUGAGAGGUAAAAAUUCGAACAUCUCCCAACCCUCUCCAAGCCCCAUCUGCAGGAAGAGUCACCUGGGUGGGCUGUCACCUCCACCUGUGAACUCACCACUUUUGAACAUCUCCGAACCCUCUCCAAGCCCCAUCUGCAGGAAGAGUCACCUGGGUGGGCUGUCACCUCCACCUGUGAAAUCACCACUUUUCUUUCUUUCCUUCUUGUCCCUAAGGAAGUGUAGGCGUCACGGGAGACUUGGUUGAGUGGUUUUCUCUUUGUGCCAAGCUCUACUUCCUUGGACUGAGACCUGCAUUCUUCCAGCUAACCAUCAUGCAUUUGAAGACCAAGUCAUAUGUUCCAAUGACUCUGCAUUCGUGGCAGGCUCUGCUGGGAGCCAAGGGGGCACACAGAGGCAGGGCCUGUGUUCCUGGGGCCUGUGAUCCAAGGGAAGAGGUGAGACACAAGCCCUACAGGAACCUGCAUGUGCCACCGUUGCCAUCAGAGCUGCCGCAGCUGUGUCCCACAGUGGCAGCCAGGAGAGCCCACAGCAGGAAGGCUCAUGCUGGUGAGGAGGUCUGGCAGGGUCAGCAUGGAGUAGAGGACUGAAGCGGGUCUUGGAGGAUCUUAGAGGAUGAGGAAGCUCCAGGAGGGAGGCUCACAGCAGUGCCUAGGUGCAAGGCAGGUGGCCUGGAGCACUGAGGAAGGACCGCUGACCACUAGCUGAAAUGAACAUUGUGGGUGGGGAAGGGGUUUGGCCUCAGACUCCUGGACUUCUGGGGAGUCCCGAUUUCAGAUGUUCUUUCUCACUGUCAAGCAACUUGUCAGACUGAGCCUUCUGAUAGUAACUGGGAAGAUAGUGCCAGCUCUUGUAGGGAAAUGUGAGGCUGUUGGAAAGUGAGUUUAGUCCUUAAUGCACCAAUAAGGAGAUUGGAAUUCAUCCCGUGGGCUGUAGAAAUCCAUCCAACGUUCUAGUCCAGAGAACCAUCCGAGAUUGCUACACUACUGUGACCAAUGACCACCAAUGUGGUGGCUUAAAACAGCAUAAAUUUCUUCUCCUACCCUUCUGGGGGUCAGAAGUCUAGAAUGGGUUUGUAGGGCUAUGUUCCUCCUCCCAGCGAGAACCCAUUCCCUUGUCUCUUCCAGCUUCUAGAUGCUGCCUAUGUCCCCUGGUCCAUGACUCCUUCCUCCAUGUUCAAAGCCCACAGCACAGCACCUCCAAUCUCUUUCUCUGCCUCCAUGGUCACUUUCCUUCUUGCUUUGAUCUCCUGCCUCCUUCGUAUAAGGAUCCCUGUGAUUAUAUCCAGUCCACCAAGACCACCUCUCCAUUUCAAGGUCCUUCAUCCCAACUGCAAAGUCCUUUUUGCUGUAUGGGCUGGUGCUAGCUGCUCUUGGAGCUUCCCCACUGUGUUGGUGUGACUGCCCCAGGACAGACAUCGCUGCUCUUCCGCUCCUGGCCCCUCCAGUGUGUGCUGAUGGUUGAGGAAGGGACUCUGGAGAUGCCGGCCCCCCAGCCAUCAAGCCCAGGAGGCCCCAUUCCAUGGAGCCCCCAGGGCCGGCAGCAAAGCCUGCGGCUGGCAAGGGGAGCAGGUGUGUUUGCAGAUUGGGUGGAGGCCGGCUCCCUGUGGCGCUCCUCUCCUCUCCCUCCACUCUCUCUCGUCUUGAAAGACCAUCUCACAAUCCAACUGCAGGACACACUUGCGCUCAGGAGCUCAUCAACUGAGGUGCUACAAACGUGAAAAACUGGAAACAAGCUGAACACCUGCCCACAGAGGAUGGCUGAGUAAAUGAUAUGCAUCCAUAUGUGUUACAUUUUGGAGUCAUUAAAAAACACGUUUAUGAAAUGUUAAUGGUCUGGGAAAAUGCUCAUAACAAAAUGUUAGGGCAAAAAACAGUUUCUACUUUCUGGUUUUCAAACUAGGAAUAUAAGUUAAUCAUUCAUAAUCAAAUUCAAAAAGCAAUAAAAAAUAAAAAUUUGAGAUUGUUUGAUAACAAUCAUCUAUGUGUAUCUGCAUAUGUAGACCUGUGUGUGUCUGUGUGCAUGUGAAUAAAAGGAAAUAUACCAAAAUGCUAACAGAUGUUAUCUCCAGGAGGGAGAAUUUUGGAUAAUCGUUAUUUUAUUUAUAUUUUUCUGUAUUUAUACAUUUUUAUAGUGAGCAUGGAUUAAUUUUUUAUUCUGAAAAUAGAAAAAAUAUAUAUGAACUAAAGAAUGGUUAUUUGCACCACUUCAGAUGGGACCAUGAGGCCGUGCCGUGAGCUCUGUGUUGGGUGGUGAUAUCUUUGGCUUAAGGCAGCCUCUGGUUGGGUGAGCACAGACAUUCUGAGAUGUCGGCUUUCUGGGUGUUUGAUACCUGGAGAUGCCUCCGAGCCAAAUGGGGCCCAUACAAAUCGUUCCAUCUGCCCAAAGUGGUGCUGGCAUGCCCUGUACCACCCCAGGAGCAGGGCCUCAUGGGAGGCAUUUAGGUCCUGGGGGCUCCACCUUUAUCAAUGGGUUCAUGAUGUCAUAAAAGGGCUGGAGUGAGUUGGGUCCUCUUUGCCCUUUCACCCUCCAGAGAAGGCAGCGUUUUCAAGGCACCAUCUUGGAAGCAGAGAGCAGUUCUCACCAGACACUGAACUGCAGCCCUUUGGCCUUGGACUUCCCAGCCUCCAGAAUGGUCCUGAGGCUGAGGAUGAAGAUGAGGCCCCUACCCAGAGCUGGGAGAGGUGGAGCUGCAUGAAGGUGCCACGUUGUGAAGCAAAACCUUAACAUCUCAUCCCCUUAUCUUUCAGGGGAUUCUGUUCUGGGAAGUGGCUCCCAAGAAAUUCCUGGUGGAUUGUGGGUGCUCUGAGGGUGAAGAGUGAAGGAGGAAGAUAAAAAGGAGCAGCCGCAGCUUUCCAGUGUAACCCCCGUCUGCUCUGCCCCACUGCCCAGACACCUGGCGUUGGGCAUCAGUGGAGCACGAACACUGUUCUCUAGGCACAUCCAUUCCGGGACCAUUCUCACAUCCUGAGGAUAAAUUUCUACAACACUCAUGCUGUGCUCUCCCUGAAAAUUUUGCCUCUGUUUUGAGCCAUUAUAAUGAUUCAAGUAGAGACUUCAGAGAAAUACUGCCUCUCGUGAAAAAGUCUCAAAUUCCUUCUCCAGAAACCUUUGCCUUUGCUUGGAAGACCUUCAUCUGAUGGGACGGGGCUCACACACGUGAUAGAAGGUCAUCUGCUUUACUCGAAGUCCACUGAUUAGACGCUCAUCACAUGGAAAAACACCUGCGCAGCAACAUCUGGACUAGGGUUUGGCUGUCAGCUGGGUGCCAUGGCCGAGCCGAGUCGACAGUUUGGACGGAUCAAAAGAUGUCUGGAAUAUGAGCAUGUGUACUUGCUUUCUGUUUGAAACACACGACCACACCCUCCACGACAUCAGCAUGAAGAAAGAGGGACCAGCCGCGGUCCCCAGGGCCAGCCCGGGAGAGGUACCUUUGGGACAGUUUCCCUCCGGGGAACCGGUGUGAGGCAAUACCGCCUGGAGAGAAGGAUAAAGGGGCCUCGCCUCAGGGCACAGCAGCCAAGAAAGUCCCCUCACGUCCUCCGCAGCUCUGCUCUCAAGAAGAGUCAGGAAACCUCCAGGAAUUGCCGCCUCGGGUGAUUUCAGCCGUUCCGUGCUCCAGCUGGGACUGGCUACAAACCUCACCAAAUGCGAGGGGAGUGGCUUUGACCUCGGGCUCUGUGCCUAUCGUUUUCACCUGAAACAGAAUUGACUUCAGCACAGCAGCAAAACAAAGACAGCUCUGAGUUAUACUGUAAUUCACAGCGGGAGAUUUACGAAUAUUAUUUUCCUGUAAAAUCUAGCAUUUUUCUCGUUGCUACUUGCAACCUGUAAGUGGUAUAAAGCUGUGCACCUAGCAGGAUGCCGCGCUGCCUGUGCGCGGGGUGCCCACGUGGGUACACAGCCCCCAUAAAUUGUGCCUUUGUGUUUAACUUGUCUAAUCAGCUCUCCAUAUCAAAACUUCAUAAGUGGUUGCUUCUCAUUUAAAGGUCUAGUAAAACCGCAAUUACUAUGGCUGUAAGACGCCUUGUUCCGAAAAGUGCAUUAAAUAGUUUUAUAGAUGUGGUUGGAAACACUUGUGCAGUUGUGUUUGCGAAAGCGAAUGAGUUCAUUAAUAAUGGGAUCCUGAGACAGAAAAAUAAGUUGGGAGCUGUGAAAACCACUUGGGCCUUUGAAGCUCGCUCUUGGAUGUAAUGUUUGAUGUCGGGACAAUUGUUUCUACUUCAUUAAAAGAAAUUGAGGUGUAACCUUAGUCAGCUUAACAGACCAGUGGCAUUUUGGCUGUAGCCUUUGGAGCAAAAGUCUGGAUGAGAAAGAAAAGCCAAGGGUUUCCUCUGAAAAUAAAAGACGGACAGCCUGCCUCCUGGCGAGGUGUUUGCAGCCAGCGGGAUCAGCAGCUCAAGCUCAGGAGCCUGGCGACUGCAGGCUGCCCCCAGACCCACGGACGAACAAGGUCACCAGCCGGGAUGCUCUGGGGUGGCGUGGUCUCCAGGUUCUUCCUGCAUGACUUUGGAAAACAGGUGAUGUCCCAACAAGGACGCAUCCUCGUCUCCCGCCCCUGCGUUUGAGCUCCAGCAGGCUGGUCCAACUUCACACAUUUAGACUGGAGACGCAGGAUGUCUUUGAACACGGAUGAAGAGGGUCCCAGAGCCCAGAGCUCCAUCUCUCCAUCCGCAUAGAUGCUGCCGGCCACACAGGCACAUUUCCAAAGUGCGUUUUUUGAAAAAUGAAAUCUCAGAUUUGCUGUAAAUUCAGGCCAGGAAGGAUCUAGCAGAUGGGCAAUGUGUAAGUUACAAACCUAAGGGAAGCUUUUGCAUUUACAAAAAAAAAGAAAAGAAAAAGAAAAAAGAAAAAAAAACACUCUUAAAUUGCAGCUCUUAAAAUAAAGGAAGAUUUUCUGUUUUCCAUAGUGACUCACUAAACCUUUAUUUAGACAGUUGGU